CCUACGGGAGGCAGCAGUGGGGAAUAUUGCACAAUGGGGGAAACCCUGAUGCAGCGACGCCGCGUGAGUGAAGAAGUAUCUCGGUACGUAAAGCCCUAUCAGCAGGGAAGAAAAUGACGGUACCUGACUAAGAAGCCCCGGCUAACUACGUGCCAGCAGCCGCGGCAAUACGUAGGGGGCAAGCGUUAUCCGGAUUUACUGGGUGUAAAGGGAGCGUAGACGGGAGCACAAGUCUGGAGUGAAAAGCCGGGGCUUAACCCCGGAACGGCCUUUGAAACUGGGCGGCUGGAGUGCGUGAGGGGUAAGCGGAAUGCGUGGUGUAGCGGUGAAAUGCAUAGAUAUUAGGAAGAACACCGGUGGCGAAGGCAGCUUACUGG
This 377-nucleotide ribosomal RNA is filed under the name uncultured bacterium. RNAcentral describes it as "partial 16S ribosomal RNA". It matches the Rfam family "Bacterial small subunit ribosomal RNA", at positions 338 to 732 of the family's 1533-position model. The record is from RNAcentral.